This 440-nucleotide long non-coding RNA is filed under the name Medicago truncatula (barrel medic). RNAcentral's name for it is "long non-coding RNA (MTRU_LNC002886)". Lineage: Eukaryota; Viridiplantae; Streptophyta; Magnoliopsida; Fabales; Fabaceae. The record is from RNAcentral.
CUCCCACCCUCUCCUUCUCUUCUUCCUUCUACAACCAUGGUUUUCCAUUGUUGGCCUUUCAUAGAUAAGGGCCUCGUUGAAAACUUUCAGGGUUUGUAUAAACGGUCAAUGAGGAUGGAACCGCGCUGCAACGAAGCGCGGUUCAUCUGAGGGUCAUGUGAGUCAGUGUGGUUCUUAACUUGGCGUGUUUGGGCGUAAGUUUGAGCACCCCCCAUCUCCCUCAGGGGCAUUGUUUUCUUCUUCUCUCCCUCCUCUUCCCUCCUCCUCCGGUUUUUCUCCAAUAGGCAAACUACUGGUAUGUCCCAUCACAUACCAGUGGUUAGGCUCUUAGGAGAUUAGAAUUAGGUUCAUAGGAGAUUAGAAAUAGAUUUAGGAUCUUAUGUAAUAAGCUUAAAAAGCUUGAAAAUUAUUGUAAUGUAUUGUUCAUAUAUUAAUAAAAU